UUUCAACUUAAGGACUUGACACCUUCUUUAGCUGACCAAGAAAGUGUAUGUGUGGAAUCAAUUUAUCUGUGUAGUAAUACCAAAUUUUGAAAUCUGGCAUUUGAUGAGUCAGCCAGGGAGAAAAUGGAAACACAUUGUGAGAGGUUCCUUCUGUGAAAAAAGUGCAACUUUGUGACAUGAUAUGCCUUCCUGACUGUAUAUACCUGAGCAGCAUACAGCUUAUUACUGCAUAAAAGAAACAUAUCAAGAUAAUUUUGAAUCAGAUUGUGUGCUGGAAAAAUGGCCUUACAUCCAAAGGAGUGAAAUUUGGAGAGUCAUUUGCCAUCUACUUAAGCCAUCCUGGAAUAUGAAGAAAUAAGACUGCAUUGACAACAUCCUGAUCCUCGUGUUCAGAUCUUUUGUGAUUUCUUGUGAAGGGUCUUUGAUUUUUCAUAAAAAUAAAAAAUAUAUUAAUAUAAUAUGAUUUUUGCUUAUUACUGAGUUUUUUUCCGUUUCAGCAGGUGCAGCCGAUUUCCACUAGUUGCCACGUAUUUUCCUACUAUUGCCAGCUAUUUGGUGGCAUUUAGUGGAAAAUAGGA
This is a long non-coding RNA of Mercenaria mercenaria, 578 nucleotides long. RefSeq lists it as uncharacterized. The record is from RefSeq and is a predicted model, not a curated record. Lineage: Eukaryota; Metazoa; Mollusca; Bivalvia; Venerida; Veneridae. The transcript has 3 exons.